UAUAAUAACGUAUUUGAAAUACGUAUAAUUUAUUGAUAAGUCAGAUAGUUAAGUCAGAUUGUGUAUUCUUUGGGAAAGUACAAAUUCUCAAAAGCGGAGAAACGGUUCCCUUCAAAUCGAUUGAGAAUUAAUCCGACUGCUAUCACGUUUCGCAAACGUCACUCCAUUGUCUCAUUGUCCAUUGGAGUGAGAGAUAGCGAUGGAGCGGUAGAGAACGAGAGAUGACUUUCCUUCGUUCCUAUCUUGCCUCCUUUUGAGAUCCCGUCUCGAUCCUAUUGGAGGCCAGGGGGAUUCUCUGUUCUUCUAUAGCCAACUAAUGCUACUGGACGAGAGAAUUGAAACUAUGACCUGUAUCCGACUCAUUUCACCGAUUGCUUUUAUCACUUUUUCUAUAUUUAUUAAACUUUUCUGUAUCAUUCAAAGUUUCGAUCGAAAGAAUGCAUAUAAAAUGUGUAGUAAAAUGAGAAAAAAAAGACGCAACAAAAAAAUGUCUUCUACGAGUAAGUCCCUGUAUUUUUUUAUAUUAUAUAAAUGAUUAUCUCAUAGUUUCUUUGUAUUCUAUAUAACAAAAAAUUAAAUAUAAACUUUGUCUUUGUAGAUCUCGAUUAUGAAAUGGCUUCUUGAUUGAAUUCUCGUUUGCCUGCCUCUCGUUCCUCGGUUCGAUCGGCUGUUAUCAGUAAAACAUUAAACGGACAAAGAACAGAACAUGGCUACAGACUAUAUAGAUCAGAUAGAUCGUUCCCGAUGAUCAGGGUACAUGGAGAUUCCUCGGAUAUAUCCGCGUCGCUGAAAAAGGGCGUCAUGCAUGGCUCGCACUAGGGUGUCAUCUGCACCCUCCACAACAUGACCAGUUCUGUAGACGAUCUUCACGGUCAAUAUAACGGAUGUCGUAAAAUCAAUUAGUGGCGAAUUGUGCCGCAGCCCGGAUCGUGUGCACUGUACAUGCAGCUCAUAAAAUUCUCCCCCCUUUUUUUUUUUGUGAUCUUUUUGAAUUACUCUGUGCAUCGGUUCCAGUCGAUGAUCAUUUCUUAUCAAAGUAUAUAUACAGUUUUUAAAACUUAUCUAUGAUAUUAUACAUGUUAAAUUUAAUACUUUGUUAAAUUUCUCAUUUGCAAUAGAAAUAUGAUAUUAUUUCUGUGAGUCGCUUUUAUAUCAUUCCGACAAUAGCUUAGUUAAUAUUGACUUUUGAAUGGUCCAAUCUUUAGAAAGAGAGCCUUUCCUUUUAGCGUGUUUCAGCAUGCAGUAAAUAUUAUCAGGUAGAUACUGUUACGGAUGUUUCCCGUUGAAUUGAUGAGAUUGUCAGUUCAUUUUUUUUUUCUUUGCCUUUCUUUCAUUUUCCUUCUUUCUUUCUUUCUUCCAGGAAUACCAUCCCCGCAUAGAGAGUCCAACGACAUUCUGACAAAUCUUUGGGGUCGACGUCGUAACCGAUUGAAAGAAUUUUCCGUGACGACUCGUUCAUUGUGCGUGUUUACUAGCUAAGCGAUUUUCUCGUUGUAGAAAGGUGGUCGAAAUAUCUUUCAGAGAUACAAUGGAAAAAACUUGUAACAUUGAAAAUCAUGGAAUCAAAAGAUUUUUAGGGAGGGAAAUUUAUUUGUGUUAUUCACAGAGAUUGCAGUAGCAGCAACGAUUUAGAUCUCGGUAAAUUGUACAAGUUUUUAUCAUCCGAGAGACGUAUAUCUAUGAAAAAGAGAAAUAGUCCACGUAAAACUUUAACGUCCUUUGUGCGAACGUCACCCGUUACAACGCAACGUUGCUUUGGCUAAGAGCCGGUAAAAGUCGAAAUGAAGGAAGUUCUCCUCUGAAUUCUAUUUCCUUCGUCAAGCGGUUUGCAGCCUUGCCUAUCUGUUUUCUCUUCGCUUCUCACCCCUCUAUCUUUUCUCUUCCUCACAGCCUUCCUUACUACCCAGAUAAUUUAACCAUUUCCAGCAAUAAAUCAAGUAAUUUUCAUUUAUAAUUACAAGCACGGUGAUUUUAUGUAACCUUUGCAAAUUAUUUCUUCUAAAUUGUUUCAUCAACGUACAAUCAACUUAUUAACUUCUUAAUAAUUGUAAUCACAGUUUAAGACACUUUCUGCUUAUUCAUAUUUUGCACGUAGGUUAUCUUGAUACUACUCCACUAAUCUGUGACGAUUAACCCAAAAUACUCAUGGGAGGAGUAAUAGGAAUAGGAACCGAAGGGAAGACGCGCAUAUGAAAUUCAUCCUUCAAAGUUGGAGGAGUGAAAGAAAAGGUUCUCCUUGUGGCUACAACUCACAACUUACAAUUCGGUGGCUACACCCUUUCAUGAACGCGCGGUUCAACCACUCGUGACCCGACCAACUUCGCCCCAAGUGGGAAGGGAACAAUCACUGUAUGAAAGUCGAGUCAAUGCUAUAACAACGAGACGAUCCGCAAAUAAAGAGGAUCUGCAGGAAAUCUGCAAACACGAGCGAAGCAAACGGGCCGCUCCAUUAAUAUUCCCUCGUACGAUCCGAAUAAGGAACGCGCGGUGGACCGAGAGACUCCCCGACCGAAGCUAUAAAAAUUAAUUAGCUCUUAGAAGAAGAGACUGGCUUCUAUAUACCCAUGACUCGUUCACCAAAACUGUGAGACCAUCCUCCUCUAGGAGGAAACGACCUUACUUCGUUAUUCGAAGGAAUAUCCAACGGUUCCUGUCAUGGAUCCUCGAUGAAUGAUCGAUACGAUAUCCCUCGAACGGGCUUCGAUCCGGACCCUUUUCGUUGUUGCAACGUAUAAUUAGUCAUUGAUUCCUCGUGGUUCGUGGAACGAUUCGAUCUUGGAAACAUUUUGUCAAGAUUAUUUUUUACUCGUUUUACAUCGUGUCUAACAGAUGAUUCAUCGUGGUUUCGAAUUUUGAAAGGAGUGAUGAAACGAGUGUUUUUUUUUUAUCAAGAAAAUUUAAAUACACAUGAAACACGUCUAAAUAAGACGUUUAAUUUUAAUAUCGAUUUCCUUGAGAAGAUUUUUUUCCACU
Molecule: long non-coding RNA, 2973 nt
Organism: Apis mellifera (honey bee)
Lineage: Eukaryota; Metazoa; Arthropoda; Insecta; Hymenoptera; Apidae
Exons: 3
Source: RefSeq, a predicted model, not a curated record